AAUAGAUUACAUGUGAGGGAGGACAUGGAGAACAGUGUUUCCAGUUGAAGCCUCACUAUGCUGCCUCUUUAAUUCCAGUCUUUGUAUUAUUUGCUUACUGUUGUUUCAUUUCUUGAAUGGUUUUUUGUACAGGGAUGGAAUGGGAGGAAUUAGGAGAAAUAGAUGACCAUAUUUUAGCUAUUAGAGAAGGAUUGUAAGAGACAACUGGGAGAAAAAAAGGGCUAGAGACAAAUGGAAGGUUCGAGGACAGUAGAGUUUUAGGGUUUUAGUCAUGGGUAGGUCCUUAAGGAGUUAAGGUUAUUAGGUAUAAGGGUCUGUGUCUGUCUCUUUUUUCGCAUUCUUUUCUUCUUUUUUCUUUGAUGGGUAUUCUUUUUGCAGUUCAAUUUGUUAGUAGAAAUUUCUGAGAUGAGUAAUGGAUUGUGAAAACUUGUAAUGCCUCAUCUGCAAUUUUCUUUCCAAUUAUAAGAUUCCCCAUUUGCAGCCG
Molecule: unclassified non-coding RNA, 484 nt
Filed under: Hevea brasiliensis (rubber tree)
Lineage: Eukaryota; Viridiplantae; Streptophyta; Magnoliopsida; Malpighiales; Euphorbiaceae
Source: RNAcentral